This 159-nucleotide ribosomal RNA is filed under the name Mycetinis scorodonius. RNAcentral's name for it is "5.8S ribosomal RNA". It matches the Rfam family "5.8S ribosomal RNA". Rfam says of the family: 5.8S ribosomal RNA (5.8S rRNA) is a component of the large subunit of the eukaryotic ribosome. It is transcribed by RNA polymerase I as part of the 45S precursor that also contains 18S and 28S rRNA. Functionally, it is thought that 5.8S rRNA may be involved in ribosome translocation. The record is from RNAcentral. Lineage: Eukaryota; Fungi; Basidiomycota; Agaricomycetes; Agaricales; Omphalotaceae.
CAACUUUCAGCAACGGAUCUCUUGGCUCUCCCAUCGAUGAAGAACGCAGCGAAAUGCGAUAAGUAAUGUGAAUUGCAGAAUUCAGUGAAUCAUCGAAUCUUUGAACGCACCUUGCGCCCUUUGGCAUUCCGAAGGGCAUGCCUGUUUGAGUGUCAUUAA